UUUCCGUAGGUGAACCUGCGGAAGGAUCAUUAUUGUAUAACCGAGGUGCGAGGGCUGUCGCUGACCCGAAAGGUCGUGCACGCCCGAGUGCCCUCACACACCUCCAUCUCACCCCUAUAUGCCCCACCGCGUGGUUCCCCCUUGACUUGUUCGGAGGGGGGCUUACUUUUUCACACAAACUUUGUAUGCAGUGUAGAAUGUAUUUUUUGUUUUUGCGAUCACGCAAUCAAUACAACUUUCAACAACGGAUCUCUUGGCUCUCGCAUCGAUGAGAACGCAGC
This 281-nucleotide unclassified non-coding RNA is filed under the name plant metagenome. Its description in RNAcentral is "partial contains small subunit ribosomal RNA, internal transcribed spacer 1, and 5.8S ribosomal RNA". The stretch from base 234 to 281 matches the Rfam family "5.8S ribosomal RNA", at positions 1 to 49 of the family's 154-position model. The record is from RNAcentral.